CUGACAACCCCUAGAGAUAGGGCUUCUCCUUCGGGAGCAGAGUGACAGGGUGGUGCAUGGGUGUCGUCAGCUCGUGUCGUGAGAUGUUGAGUUAAGUCCCGCAACGAGCGCAACCCUUGAUCUUAGUUGCCAUCAUUAAGUUGGGCACUCUAAGGUGACUGCCGGUGACAAACCGGAGGAAGGUGGGGAUGACGUCAAAUCAUCAUGCCCCUUAUGACCUGGGCUACACACGUGCUACAAUGGACGGUACAAAGAGCUGCAAGACCGCGAGGUGGAGCUAAUCUCAUAAAACCGUUCUCAGUUCGGAUUGUAGGCUGCAACUCGCCUACAUGAAGCUGGAAUCGCUAGUAAUCGCGGAUCAGCAUGCCGCGGUGAAUACGUUCCCGGGCCUUGUACACACCGCCCGUCACACCACGAGAGUUUGUAACACCCGAAGUCGGUGGGGUAACCUUUUGGAGCCAGCCGCCUAAGGUGGGACAGAGAUGGGGGAAGUCGUAACAAGGUAACCUA
RNAcentral lists this ribosomal RNA (510 nucleotides) under uncultured bacterium. RNAcentral's name for it is "bacterial SSU rRNA". It matches the Rfam family "Bacterial small subunit ribosomal RNA", at positions 991 to 1503 of the family's 1533-position model. The record is from RNAcentral.